CUCCUAUACCCCUCACCCUUCUUCCUUCCCGUCUUCCUGCUACUCUGAAACACAGCAGCUUUCACCAUAACUGUGUUUCUUCCUUCAGCUUACAAAAGAGGCACCCAGUCACUUCUAAUUUUUACAAAAAAUUGUGUGACUGGGGAUCAAACUCACAGCCUUUUUGCUGACCUACAUUCUCUCUCCUUUUUUGUUUUUAUUUCAGAGACAAGUCUCACUAAGUUGCUCCAGCUGGUCUCCAAUUUGCAGUCCUCCUGCCUCAGCCUCCCAGAGUUUGAGGAUUACAGAUGCAACAGUCAAGGCAGAAAACCAAGAUCAUCUUCCCAAGGUCUGAGCUACCGAGUAUCAGAGCCAGAAGAGGAGCCAGGCAGGCAUGGUUCCAAGGUCGCUUCCCUGUGAGACUCCACCUU
This is a long non-coding RNA of Heterocephalus glaber (naked mole-rat), 410 nucleotides long. The record is from Ensembl. Lineage: Eukaryota; Metazoa; Chordata; Mammalia; Rodentia; Bathyergidae.